AAAGGGAGAUUAAUACCGCAUAACCCAUGAUUUCCGCAUGGAAGCCAUGGUAAAGAUUUAUCGCUUUGAGAUGGACCCGCGGCGCAUUAGCUAGUUGGUGAGGUAACGGCUCACCAAGGCCACGAUGCGUAGCCGACCUGAGAGGGUGAUCGGCCACAUUGGAACUGAGACACGGUCCAGACUCCUACGGGAGGCAGCAGUGGGGAAUAUUGCACAAUGGGCGAAAGCCUGAUGCAGCAACGCCGCGUGAGUGAUGAAGGUCUUCGGAUUGUAAAGCUCUGUCUUUUGGGACGAUAAUGACGGUACCAAAGGAGGAAGCCACGGCUAACUACGUGCCAGCAGCCGCGGUAAUACGUAGGUGGCAAGCGUUGUCCGGAUUUACUGGGCGUAAAGGGUGCGUAGGUGGAUAUUUAAGUCAGAUGUGAAACCCCUGGGCUCAACUCAGGGACUGCAUUUGAAACUGGAUAUCUUGAGUGCGGGAGAGGUAAGUGGAAUUCCUAGUGUAGCGGUGAAAUGCGUAGAGAUUAGGAAGAACACCAGUGGCGAAGGCGACUUACUGGACCGUAACUGACACUGAGGCACGAAAGCGUGGGUAGCAAACAGGAUUAGAUACCCUGGUAGUCCACGCCGUAAACGAUGAGUACUAGGUGUAGGGGGGUAUCGACUCCCCCAGUGCCGCAGUUAACACAAUAAGUACUCCGCCUGGGAAGUACGAUCGCAAGAUUAAAACUCAAAAGAAUUGACGG
Molecule: ribosomal RNA, 746 nt
Filed under: uncultured Clostridium sp.
Lineage: Bacteria; Bacillati; Bacillota; Clostridia; Eubacteriales; Clostridiaceae
Description: bacterial SSU rRNA
Rfam family: Bacterial small subunit ribosomal RNA
Source: RNAcentral